UUUAAAGUUUUAUUGUGGCUAAAAAAUUCAGUUUUUGGUGGGCUCACAUGCGUGGAUUAAACUAUAGGUUUUGGUUUUGCAGUGAUUAAAUUUAAUGAUUUAGGAAACUAAGAAUUAGAUAUUAAAAAUUAUACAAACAAAUUUUGUGCCAGCAGUUGCGGUUAAACAGGAUGUAUUUCUGAAUUUGGUUCGGGUUAUAGUAAUCUUCAAGUAUUAAGGGGAGAAUUGGUCGUAUAAGGUGAAAUUUUGUGAUUGAUUAAGUUUAUUUUUAAGGGAGAUACUAUUAGAUUUGGGUAUAGACUAGGAUUAGAUACCCUAUUAUUUUAAACGUAAAUUUAUAUUCCUGAGGAGUACUAGUAUAUUCUUGAAAUUUAAAAAAUUUGGCGGUGUUUUAGUCUAUUCAGAGGAACCUGUCCUGUAAUUGAUAAUCCACGAUUAAUUAAACUUUAUCUUUAAGUUUGUAUACCGUCGUUAUUUGAAUAUCUUUAAAGGGUUUAAUGUUCAAGAUUUAAAUUUAUAGUGUAAAUCAGAUCAAGGUACAGUUUAUGGUAAAGGAGAGAUGGGUUACAAUGAAGAUAUUUAUAUGGUUUGAAUGAUGAAAUUUUUCAAUAAAUAGGAUUUGAUAGUAAAAUGAAUAAUAUAAUUUUUUUGAUUUGAGCUCUAGAAUAUGCACAUAUCGCCCGUCGCUCCCACCACAAGGUGGGAUAAGUCGUAACAAAGUAGGUGUACCGGAAGGUGUACCUAGAAAGA
This 750-nucleotide non-coding RNA is filed under the name Prosopocoilus laterotarsus maedaorum. The record is from RNAcentral. Lineage: Eukaryota; Metazoa; Arthropoda; Insecta; Coleoptera; Lucanidae.